This 756-nucleotide ribosomal RNA is filed under the name uncultured eukaryote. RNAcentral's name for it is "bacterial SSU rRNA". It matches the Rfam family "Bacterial small subunit ribosomal RNA", at positions 8 to 798 of the family's 1533-position model. The record is from RNAcentral.
AGAGUUUGAUCCUGGCUCAGGAUGAACGCUGGCGGUAUGCUUAACACAUGCAAGUCGAACGGUAUCUUCGGAUAUAGUGGCGGACGGGUGAGUAACGCGUGAGAAUCUGGCUUCAGGUCGGGGACAACAGUUGGAAACGACUGCUAAUACCGGAUGAGCCUGCGGGUAAAAGAUUUAUUGCCUGAAGAAGAGCUCGCGUCUGAUUAGCUAGUUGGUGGGGUAAGGGCUUACCAAGGCGACGAUCAGUAGCUGGUCUGAGAGGAUGAUCAGCCACACUGGGACUGAGACACGGCCCAGACUCCUACGGGAGGCAGCAGUGGGGAAUUUUCCGCAAUGGGCGAAAGCCUGACGGGGCAAUGCCGCGUGGAGGAUGAAGGCCCAAUGGGUCGUAAACUCCUUUAGAUCAGAGACGAAGAGAUGACGGUACCUGAAGAACUAAGCAUCGGCUAAACCCCGUGCCAGCAGCCGCGGUAAGACGGGGGAUGCGAGCGUUAUCCGGAAUGAUUGGGCGUAAAGGGUCCGCAGGUGGCCCGGUCAGUCCGCUGUCAAAGCCUGGGGCUCAACCCUGGAGAGGCGGCGGAGACCACCGGGCUCGAGUCCGGUAGGGGCAGAGGGAAUUCCCGGUGGAGCGGUGAAAUGCGUAGAGAUCGGGAAGAACGCCAAGGGCGAAGGCACUCUGCUAGGCCUGAUUUCGCGACUGACACUCAGGGACGAGAGCCAGGGGAGCGAAUGGGAUUAGAUACCCCAGUAGUCCUG